RNAcentral lists this transfer RNA (73 nucleotides) under Candidatus Omnitrophota bacterium. RNAcentral describes it as "tRNA-Asn". It matches the Rfam family "tRNA". From Rfam's summary of the family: Transfer RNA (tRNA) molecules are approximately 80 nucleotides in length. The record is from RNAcentral. Lineage: Bacteria; Pseudomonadati; Candidatus Omnitrophota.
AUAUCAAUAGCUCAAUUGGCAGAGCAGUUAUGUGUUAAAUAACUUGUUAGGGGUUCGAAUCCCCUUCGAUAUU